This 445-nucleotide ribosomal RNA is filed under the name uncultured bacterium. RNAcentral's name for it is "partial 16S ribosomal RNA". It matches the Rfam family "Bacterial small subunit ribosomal RNA", at positions 354 to 796 of the family's 1533-position model. The record is from RNAcentral.
GUGAGGAAUAUUGGUCAAUGGGCGAGAGCCUGAACCAGCCAAGUCGCGUGAAGGAUGAAGGUUUUAUGAAUUGUAAACUUCUUUUGCAGGGGAAUAAAGUACGGUACGUGUACCGUUUUGUAUGUACUCUGCGAAUAAGGAUCGGCUAACUCCGUGCCAGCAGCCGCGGUAAUACGGAGGAUCCAAGCGUUAUCCGGAUUUAUUGGGUUUAAAGGGUGCGCAGGCGGGUUGAUAAGUCAGCGGUGAAAGUUUGCAGCUUAACUGUAAAAUUGCCGUUGAAACUGUCGAUCUUGAGUGCAAAUGAGGUAAGCGGAAUGUGUUGUGUAGCGGUGAAAUGCUUAGAUAUAACACAGAACACCGAUUGCGAAGGCAGCUUACUGGGCAGCAACUGACGCUGAGGCGCGAAAGCCAGGGGAGCAAACGGGAUUAGAAACCCGGGUAGUCC